Drosophila arizonae is the source of this 175-nucleotide long non-coding RNA. NCBI's taxonomy places the organism in Eukaryota, Metazoa, Arthropoda, Insecta, Diptera, Drosophilidae. The record is from RefSeq and is a predicted model, not a curated record.
GUGCGUGUGUGUGUGUGUGUGUGUGUGUGUGUGUGUCGGUGUGUGUGUGAAAGAAGUUUACUAGUUUACGAUAAUGUGCGUACGUGUAAAUCGUAUUUUAUGCACAUUUCCCGCUGAUUGCAAGAUAUUGUGUUCCACAACAAUGUAACAACAACAAUAGAAUGGAACAAACAAA